Molecule: long non-coding RNA, 366 nt
Filed under: Mus spretus (western wild mouse)
Lineage: Eukaryota; Metazoa; Chordata; Mammalia; Rodentia; Muridae
Description: predicted gene 12426 (ENSMSPG00010009919.1)
Source: RNAcentral
CCUGCGCGGUCCUCCUGCAAGAAGCGGUGGCAGAGAAGGACUUCAUGGAGCCGGAAGUGUGGAAUGCUGUGGGGCUCAUUUGCUGUGCACACACGAGCCCCUUGCAAAGGCACAGGAAAUAAUAUGUGGACAACUUUGAACAAUGCAGUGACAAGAGCCUGGACACUCUGGGUAGAGGUCUCCAUCUCUCUGUACCUAAGAUCUCCCCAGCUUUCACCACCAGUGUUCAAUCGGCUGGCAUUAAGGUCUCUAUCACAAGGGAUCUCUUCUCCCAAUGCCUCUGUAACAGUAUUCUCAACAACUGUUCUAUCAACAUGUUUGGAAGAUACCCUUUCAGAAAAUGGAGCCCAGGUCCUCACCCUGGAC